GAGUUUGAUCAUGGCUCAGAAUGAACGCUGGCGGCAUGCCUAACACAUGCAAGUCGAACGAAGGCUUCGGCCUUAGUGGCGCACGGGUGCGUAACGCGUGGGAAUCUGCCCUUGGGUUCGGAAUAACAGUUAGAAAUGACUGCUAAUACCGGAUGAUGUCGUAAGACCAAAGAUUUAUCGCCCAAGGAUGAGCCCGCGUAGGAUUAGCUAGUUGGUGGGGUAAAGGCCACCAAGGCGACGAUCCUUAGCUGGUCUGAGAGGAUGAUCAGCCACACUGGGACUGAGACACGGCCCAGACUCCUACGGGAGGCAGCAGUGGGGAAUAUUGGACAAUGGGCGAAAGCCUGAUCCAGCAAUGCCGCGUGAGUGAUGAAGGCCUUAGGGUUGUAAAGCUCUUUUACCCGGGUACGUGAUAAUGACAGUACCGGGAGGAAUAAGCUCCGGCUAACUUCGUGCCAGCCGCCGCAGUAAU
This 472-nucleotide ribosomal RNA is filed under the name uncultured microorganism. Its description in RNAcentral is "bacterial SSU rRNA". It matches the Rfam family "Bacterial small subunit ribosomal RNA", at positions 9 to 524 of the family's 1533-position model. The record is from RNAcentral.